RNAcentral lists this ribosomal RNA (447 nucleotides) under uncultured Leptolinea sp. Its description in RNAcentral is "bacterial SSU rRNA". It matches the Rfam family "Bacterial small subunit ribosomal RNA", at positions 923 to 1382 of the family's 1533-position model. Lineage: Bacteria; Bacillati; Chloroflexota; Anaerolineae; Anaerolineales; Anaerolineaceae. The record is from RNAcentral.
GCACAAGCAGCGGAGCGUGUGGUUUAAUUCGAUGUUACACGAAGAACCUUUACCAGGGUUUGACAUGCAAGUGGUAGGAAGCCGAAAGGUGACCGACCCUUCGGGGAGCUUGCACAGGUGCUGCAUGGCUGUCGUCAGCUCGUGUCGUGAGAUGUUCGGUUAAGUCCGCUAACGAGCGCAACCCUCGCUGUGUGUUAUAUGUGUCACACGGGACUGCCGGUCUUAAGCCGGAGGAAGGUGGGGAUGAUGUCAAGUCAGCAUGGCCUUUAUAUCCUGGGCUACACACACGCUACAAUGGCCAACACAAUAGGUUGCUAAGCCGCGAGGUGGCGCCAAUCCUGAAAGCAGGCCUCAGUUCAGAUUGCAGUCUGCAACUCGACUGCAUGAAGCCGGAGUUGCUAGUAACCGCAGGCCAGCAAUACUGCGGUGAAUACGUUCCCGGGUCUU